AUCCCAUGGUAAGGGCAUUUGCAAAGUAACUUUUUAAAUCUUUCCCAUGCCUCGUAUAAGGGUUCAUCAUCCAAUUACUAAAAAUUAGUGAUCUCAUUAUGCAACU
Molecule: small nucleolar RNA, 106 nt
Organism: Gossypium raimondii (Peruvian cotton)
Lineage: Eukaryota; Viridiplantae; Streptophyta; Magnoliopsida; Malvales; Malvaceae
Rfam family: Plant small nucleolar RNA R71
About the family: R71 is a member of the C/D box family of snoRNAs containing the C (UGAUGA) and D (CUGA) box motifs. Multiple nearly identical copies of this snoRNA have been identified in Arabidopsis, and it is thought to function as a 2'-O-ribose methylation guide for 18S ribosomal RNA.
Source: Rfam